UGCCGCGUGCGGGAAGAAGGCCUUCGGGUUGUAAACCGCUUUUGUCAGGGAAGAAAUCUUCUGGGUUAACACCUCGGGAGGAUGACGGUACCUGAAGAAUAAGCACCGGCUAACUACGUGCCAGCAGCCGCGGUAAUACGUAGGGUGCGAGCGUUAAUCGGAAUUACUGGGCGUAAAGCGUGCGCAGGCGGUUAUAUAAGACAGAGGUGAAAUCCCCGGGCUCAACCUGGGAACUGCCUUUGUGACUGUAUAGCUUGAGUGCGGCAGAGGGGGAUGGAAUUCCGCGUGUAGCAGUGAAAUGCGUAGAUAUGCGGAGGAACACCGAUGGCGAAGGCAAUCCCCUGGGCCUGCACUGACGCUCAUGCACGAAAGCGUGGGGAGCAAACAGGAUUAGAUACCCUGGUAGUCCACGCCCUAAACGAUGUCAACUGGUUGUUGGGAAGGUUCCUUCUCAGUAACGAAGCUAACGC
RNAcentral lists this ribosomal RNA (470 nucleotides) under Ideonella sp. Its description in RNAcentral is "bacterial SSU rRNA". It matches the Rfam family "Bacterial small subunit ribosomal RNA", at positions 395 to 858 of the family's 1533-position model. The record is from RNAcentral. Lineage: Bacteria; Pseudomonadati; Pseudomonadota; Betaproteobacteria; Burkholderiales; Sphaerotilaceae.